AUUGAACGCUGGCGGAAUGCUUUACACAUGCAAGUCGAACGGCAGCACGGACUUCGGUCUGGUGGCGAGUGGCGAACGGGUGAGUAAUGUAUCGGAACGUGCCCAGUCGUGGGGGACAACGUAGUGAAAAUUACGCUAAUACCGCAUACGAUCUAUGGAUGAGAGCGGGGGAUCGCAAGACCUUGCGCGAUUGGAGCGGCAGAUAUCAGAUUAGGUAGUUGGUGGGGUAAAGGCCCACCAAGCCAACGAUCUGUAGCUGGUCUGAGAGGACGACCAGCCAUACUGGAACUGAGACACGGUCCAAACUCCUACGGGAGGCAGCAGUGGGGAAUUUUGGACAAUGGGCGAAAGCCUGAUCCAGCCAUUCCGCGUGCAGGAUGAAGGCCCUCGGGUUGUAAACUGCUUUUGUACAGAACGAAAAGGUUUCUACUAAUACUAGGAGCUCAUGACGGUACUGUAAGAAUAAGCACCGGCUAACUACGUGCCAGCCGCCGCAGUAA
This 500-nucleotide ribosomal RNA is filed under the name uncultured bacterium. RNAcentral describes it as "partial 16S ribosomal RNA". It matches the Rfam family "Bacterial small subunit ribosomal RNA", at positions 30 to 523 of the family's 1533-position model. The record is from RNAcentral.